UAGGAAGAGAUUCCUUUGGACUUAGAUC
RNAcentral lists this non-coding RNA (28 nucleotides) under Mus musculus (house mouse). The record is from RNAcentral. Lineage: Eukaryota; Metazoa; Chordata; Mammalia; Rodentia; Muridae.